GCGAUCAUACCAGCACUAAUGCACCGGAUCCCAUCAGAACUCCGCUGUUAAGCGUGCUUGGGCGAGAGUAGUACUAGGAUGGGUGACCUCCUGGGAAGUCCUCGUGUUGCACCCC
RNAcentral lists this ribosomal RNA (115 nucleotides) under Corchorus olitorius. Lineage: Eukaryota; Viridiplantae; Streptophyta; Magnoliopsida; Malvales; Malvaceae. The record is from RNAcentral.